UAAUACGAAGGGGGCUAGCGUUGCUCGGAAUCACUGGGCGUAAAGCGCACGUAGGCGGGUUCUUAAGUCAGGGGUGAAAUCCUGGAGCUCAACUCCAGAACUGCCCUUGAUACUGAGAAUCUUGAGUCCGGGAGAGGUGAGUGGAACUGCGAGUGUAGAGGUGAAAUUCGUAGAUAUUC
RNAcentral lists this ribosomal RNA (179 nucleotides) under uncultured bacterium. RNAcentral's name for it is "partial 16S ribosomal RNA". It matches the Rfam family "Bacterial small subunit ribosomal RNA", at positions 521 to 699 of the family's 1533-position model. The record is from RNAcentral.